UCAGGUUGUCGGCAUUCCAAGUUCGAAAAAUGACCGUCCCUUCCAGGGUCUCAAGUCGAUAGGCGCCCGGCCUGCAGGUGUCUGCUACCUUGUAGGGUCCUUCCCAGUUUGAGGAUAAUUUUCCUUGAUCCUGAGGCUUCGAGACUUCCGUCUUCCUUAAAAUCAGGUCUCCGAAUCUGAAGGAUUUUGGCUUGACUUUAGCAUUGUAGUAUCGGGCCAC
This 220-nucleotide long non-coding RNA is filed under the name Elaeis guineensis (African oil palm). RNAcentral describes it as "long non-coding RNA (EGUI_LNC035401)". Lineage: Eukaryota; Viridiplantae; Streptophyta; Magnoliopsida; Arecales; Arecaceae. The record is from RNAcentral.